GACAGGGUUUGCUAACAUUGUGGGAUAGCAAACACACGGUAAAAAUGAAGACAUUGGUAAAAUAGUUGUUUGACACAAAAAUAUUUGCGGGCUAUUAACCUGAUUCAAAAACAUUUGCAGGGUAUCAACCUGAUUCAAAGGCAUUUGGCAGGGUGUCAACCCGACUCUGAAGGUAUUUUGCAAGCUAUUCACUUGACACAAUGAAGCAAAAGGUGUUUGCAAGCUAUUCACUUGACACAAUGAAGCAAAAGGUGUUUGCAAGCUAUUCGCUUGACACUAAGGUAGCAAAAGAGGUUUGCAAGCUACUCGCUUGACACACAUGGAACAAAAGAUAUUUGCAAGCUACUCGCUUGAC
This 355-nucleotide long non-coding RNA is filed under the name Medicago truncatula (barrel medic). RNAcentral's name for it is "long non-coding RNA (MTRU_LNC004124)". The record is from RNAcentral. Lineage: Eukaryota; Viridiplantae; Streptophyta; Magnoliopsida; Fabales; Fabaceae.